AGUCUUAUAUUCAAGAAUGAUAUAAAAUUGCAAAUUUUAUGGUGUAUAUAAUACUAAGGCUU
RNAcentral lists this transfer RNA (62 nucleotides) under Limenitis fortuna. RNAcentral's name for it is "Athyma fortuna tRNA-Cys". Lineage: Eukaryota; Metazoa; Arthropoda; Insecta; Lepidoptera; Nymphalidae. The record is from RNAcentral.